This 301-nucleotide ribosomal RNA is filed under the name uncultured bacterium. Its description in RNAcentral is "partial 16S ribosomal RNA". It matches the Rfam family "Bacterial small subunit ribosomal RNA", at positions 509 to 809 of the family's 1533-position model. The record is from RNAcentral.
CAGUAGCCGCGGGAAUACAGAGGGUUCGAGCGUUAAUCGGAUUUACUGGGCGUAAAGCGUGCGUAGGCGGCUUCUUAAGUCGGAUGUGAAAUCCCUGAGCUUAACUUAGGAAUUGCAUUCGAUACUGGGAAGCUAGAGUAUGGGAGAGGAUGGUAGAAUUCCAGGUGUAGCGGUGAAAUGCGUAGAGAUCUGGAGGAAUACCGAUGGCGAAGGCAGCCAUCUGGCCUAAUACUGACGCUGAGGUACGAAAGCAUGGGGAGCAAACAGGAUUAGAUACCCGGGUAGUCCCUGUCUCUUAUAA